This 253-nucleotide ribosomal RNA is filed under the name uncultured bacterium. Its description in RNAcentral is "partial 16S ribosomal RNA". It matches the Rfam family "Bacterial small subunit ribosomal RNA", at positions 524 to 776 of the family's 1533-position model. The record is from RNAcentral.
UACGUAGGGACCGAGCGUUGUCCGGAUUCAUUGGGCGUAAAGAGCUCGUAGGCGGCUGUUCAAGUCGAACGUGAAAACUCGGAGCUCAACUCCGAGCCUGCGUUCGAUACUGGACGGCUAGAGUCUGGUAGGGGGAUCUGGAAUUCCUGGUGUAGCGGUGGAAUGCGCAGAUAUCAGGAAGAACACCCGUGGCUAAGGCGGCUCUCUAGUACGGUACUGACGCUGAGACGCGAAAGCGUGGGGAGCGAACAGG